RNA transcript from Nomascus leucogenys (northern white-cheeked gibbon), 6851 nucleotides. It is a transcript of the gene named PTPRF interacting protein alpha 4, with no coding region annotated. The transcript is spliced from 31 exons. Lineage: Eukaryota; Metazoa; Chordata; Mammalia; Primates; Hylobatidae. The record is from RefSeq and is a predicted model, not a curated record.
GGCCGGGGGAAGUGGAGUUGCCCCCUGGCACCUGGUUUAGAGAGAGGCCAGGAAAGGGCUAGUGAGAAGAGAAGCAACCAAAGCCAGCUUCUCAGUUGCUAAAAUGACCAGGAGGAUUUGGGGAGGCCAAGUUGGACCAGAUAGCCAGUACCUCACAGUGGGCAGCCUGAGGUCCUGUUCUUCCUUCCUGAGAACUUCUCCAGCCCCUUUCCUGUAAGAAGCUUUAAAAACUCCACCCACAGGCGGCCAACACUAAGGUAAUUCACAUUCCCGUGCAAUCACAGGGUGCUUUCUACUCUUCAUUUGCUGCCCAGCCAUGAUCUCAUCCCUCUAAGACACACUGCCCUCCAGAAACGAUGGGUGUCGCUAGAUCCAGCUGGGACUCUGCCAGCCUCCGGCACUCAGUCUAAGAGAAGGGCCAUCUUCCAGCCCUGCUGUCCCUGCCUGUCAUGGCCACAUUCGGCUGCUGUCUGCAUGUCUGGGGACACAGGGCACCCAGCCCCAGCCCUGAGAAGUUAAGCCAGGCCUUCUGGCUCAGUUCCACAGGGGCACUCCAGACCCCAGGCCCCUUUCAGAGCAAAAGCAACUGAUGCUAUGGGAGAAGCCCCUGCCUACCUGUCCACUCGCCUGGCACUGCCCACUCUGAGACCCAUGCACUGGGUUCCCCUGGAGGUGCCAACCCUGUGAGUCCCUCCCUGUCCCCCGACGCUGAGAAGGCCCUGCCCACCCCCACCAUGUGUGAGGUGAUGCCCACAAUCAAUGAGGGGGACCCCUUGGGUCCCCCCCAUGGCGCCGAUGCUGACGCCAACUUCGAGCAGCUGAUGGUGAACAUGCUGGAUGAGCGGGAGAAGUUGCUGGAGUCUCUUCGGGAGAGUCAGGAGACCUUGGCGGCCACACAGAGCCGGCUCCAGGAUGCCCUACAUGAGCGGGACCAGCUCCAGCGCCACCUUAACUCCGCCCUCCCCCAGGAAUUUGCCACCUUAACCCGGGAGCUGAGCAUGUGUCGGGAGCAGCUUCUAGAGCGGGAGGAAGAGAUAUCAGAACUGAAAGCAGAACGGAAUAACACACGGCUGCUUCUGGAACAUCUGGAGUGCCUGGUGUCCCGCCAUGAACGGUCACUGCGGAUGACUGUGGUGAAGCGCCAGGCCCAGUCACCUUCGGGGGUCUCCAGUGAGGUGGAGGUGCUGAAGGCCCUCAAGUCACUGUUUGAGCACCACAAGGCCCUGGAUGAGAAGGUGCGAGAGCGGCUCCGGGCAGCGCUGGAGCGAGUCACCACCUUGGAGGAGCAGCUGGCAGGUGCCCACCAGCAGGUGUCUGCCCUGCAGCAGGGGGCAGGGGUGCGGGAUGGAGCGGCAGAAGAGGAGGGGACUGUGGAGCUGGGGCCGAAACGCCUGUGGAAGGAGGACGCGGGCCGGGUAGAGGAGCUGCAGGAGCUCCUGGAGAAGCAGAACUUUGAGCUGAGCCAGGCCCGGGAGCGACUGGUCACCCUGACAGCAACCGUGACUGAACUCGAGGAGGACCUGGGCACGGCCCGCCGGGACCUCAUCAAGUCGGAGGAGCUGAGCAGCAAGCAUCAGCGGGACCUCCGGGAGGCUCUGGCCCAGAAGGAGGACAUGGAAGAGCGGAUUACUACACUGGAGAAGCGCUACCUGGCUGCUCAGCGCGAGGCAACAUCCAUCCAUGACCUCAAUGACAAGCUGGAGAAUGAGCUGGCCAACAAGGAGUCCCUGCACCGCCAGUGUGAGGAGAAGGCCCGACACCUGCAGGAGCUGCUGGAGGUGGCAGAGCAGAAGCUGCAGCAGACGAUGCGCAAGGCAGAGACGCUGCCAGAGGUGGAGGCUGAGCUGGCCCAGAGAAUUGCAGCCCUCACCAAGGCUGAAGAACGACAUGGCAACAUUGAGGAGCACCUGCGGCAGCUGGAGGGACAGCUGGAGGAGAAGAACCAGGAGCUGGCACGGGUGCGCCAGCGGGAAAAGAUGAAUGAGGACCACAACAAGCGGCUGUCGGACACAGUGGACCGGCUGCUCAGCGAGUCCAACGAGCGUCUGCAGCUCCACCUGAAGGAGCGCAUGGCAGCCCUGGAGGAGAAGAACACGUUGAUCCAGGAGUUGGAGAGCUCCCAGCGGCAGAUUGAGGAGCAGCACCACCACAAGGGCCGCCUGUCUGAAGAGAUUGAGAAGCUGCGCCAAGAGGUGGACCAGCUGAAGGGCCGAGGGGGGCCGUUUGUGGAUGGCGUCCACUCCAGGUACUGCAGCACCAGAGGCUGGGCAUGCCAGGACGGGGUCCUGAUGGAUGCUGAGUCGCACAUGGGCAGUGCAGCAGACGUGCGGUUCUCCCUGGGCACAACCACACACGCACCCCCAGGCGUGCAUCGCCGCUACUCAGCAUUGAGGGAAGAGUCUGCCAAGGACUGGGAGACUUCUCCACUGCCUGGGAUGCUGGCCCCGGCAGCUGCCCCUGCCUUUGACAGUGACCUUGAGAUCUCCGACGUGGAUGAGGAUGAGCCAGGGGGUCUGGUGGGCUCUGCAGACGUUGUCUCCCCCAGCGGCCACUCAGAUGCCCAGACCCUGGCCAUGAUGCUGCAGGAGCAGCUGGAUGCCAUCAAUGAGGAAAUCAGGAUGAUUCAGGAAGAGAAGGAGUCCACGGAGCUCCGCGCGGAGGAGAUUGAGACGCGUGUAACCAGCGGCAGCAUGGAGGCCCUAAACCUGAAGCAGCUGCGCAAGCGUGGUUCCAUCCCCACCUCUCUGACGGCCCUGUCCCUGGCCAGCGCGUCCCCACCACUCAGCGGCCGCUCCACACCUAAGCUGACCUCCCGCAGUGCUGCCCAGGACCUGGACCGAAUGGGGGUCAUGACCCUGCCCAGUGACUUAAGAAAGCAUAGGAGGAAGCUGCUGUCGCCAGUGUCUCGGGAAGAGAACCGAGAGGAUAAAGCCACCAUAAAAUGUGAGACUUCUCCUCCUUCCUCACCCAGGACGCUGCGGCUAGAGAAGCUUGGCCACCCAGCCCUGAGCCAGGAAGAAGGCAAGAGUGCCUUGGAGGAUCAGGGCAGCAACCCCAGCAGCAGCAACAGCAGCCAGGACUCCCUGCACAAGGGCGCCAAGCGCAAGGGCAUCAAGUCGUCCAUUGGCCGCCUGUUUGGGAAGAAGGAGAAGGGCAGGCUGAUCCAGCUGAGUCGGGAUGGAGCCACAGGCCAUGUUCUGCUAACAGACUCCGAAUUCAGUAUGCAGGAGCCUAUGGUACCUGCCAAACUGGGGACCCAGGCAGAGAAGGACCGGCGGCUAAAGAAGAAACACCAGCUGCUUGAGGAUGCCCGCAGGAAAGGAAUGCCCUUUGCCCAGUGGGAUGGUCCUACUGUGGUCUCCUGGUUGGAGCUCUGGGUGGGGAUGCCUGCCUGGUACGUGGCAGCCUGCCGGGCCAACGUCAAGAGUGGUGCCAUCAUGUCCGCUCUGUCGGACACAGAGAUCCAGCGGGAGAUCGGCAUCAGCAAUGCCCUGCACCGGCUCAAGCUCCGCCUGGCCAUUCAGGAGAUGGUGUCAUUGACCAGCCCCUCUGCCCCGCCCACCUCCAGGACUUCUUCUGGGAAUGUCUGGGUCACCCAUGAAGAGAUGGAAACUCUGGAAACAUCUACUAAAACAGACAGUGAGGAGGGCAGCUGGGCUCAGACCCUGGCCUAUGGGGACAUGAACCAUGAGUGGAUUGGGAAUGAAUGGCUACCCAGCCUGGGGCUCCCGCAGUACCGCAGCUACUUCAUGGAGUGCCUGGUGGACGCCCGCAUGCUGGACCACCUCACCAAGAAGGACCUGCGGGUCCACCUGAAGAUGGUGGACAGCUUCCAUCGAACCAGUCUUCAGUAUGGCAUCAUGUGUCUGAAGAGGCUGAAUUAUGACCGGAAGGAGCUGGAGAAGAGGCGAGAGGAGAGCCAGCACGAGAUCAAGGAUGUGUUAGUCUGGACCAACGACCAGGUGGUUCAUUGGGUCCAGUCUAUUGGGCUCCGGGACUACGCAGGAAACCUGCGUGAGAGUGGUGUGCAUGGAGCCUUGCUGGCCCUGGACGAGAACUUCGACCACAACACACUGGCCCUGAUCCUCCAGAUCCCCACACAGAACACCCAGGCACGCCAAGUGAUGGAAAGAGAGUUCAAUAACCUGUUGGCCUUGGGCACAGACCGGAAGCUGGAUGACGGGGAUAACAAGGUGUUCCGCCGCGCGCCCUCCUGGAGGAAGCGCUUCCGGCCGCGGGAGCACCACGGUGGCGGCGGCAUGCUCAGCGCUUCAGCGGAGACCCUCCCGGCGGGCUUCCGUGUGUCCACCCUGGGGCCCCUGCAGCCCCCGCCGGCCCCGCCAAAGAAGAUCAUGCCUGAAGCCGGGACGGCGGGGUCGCAGAGACUGGAGACCUCCACGGUUCGGACCUACUCCUGCUGACCCCCCAUCCUCCCGCCCCGGGUCUGACGGGGGUGUGCCCGUGGCUCGGGCUCACUCCCACUAUCUCUACGGACACAUGCUCUCCGCCUUCCGGGACUAGCCACGGCCCCCAGGGCUGGCUUCUUCCUUCUGGGUUUCACAGGCUCCUCUGGCCCUGACCCCUCCUGCUCGUUCCCCUUCCUUCCGCGGCUUCUAGUCUCGUCCGUGACUUUCCGGUUGCCCUGGAUCUCAGAAUAUAUUUGUCCACCCCCUCGGCACCCCACUACCCUGAGUCCCACCGUGUGUCCGUUGUAAGUCUGGUGGGUGUGGCUGGGGUCUCCUGGUAUCGUGGAGGCACCCAGGUUGUCCACGCUUGGGAUUCUGGGGGAAGGAGAGAAGGGCAGCCCAGGGUGAAUGUGAAGCCACCCUUCCUCUUCUGGACCCAGCCUGGUCUGCACUGCAACCUCCACCAGGACCAGGAUCCUGGGCCACAGGCUGGGAUGAUCCUUCCAAGAAAGGGUCGUUUCAGAUGCAGCCCUGCUUGGGCUAUUGAACCUUAGGGUGUCCGUCCACAUCUGGCUGUGCCAAAUGGUCUGACAGCCAGCAUCACCACUCUCCCGACCCAUCACCAUGACUGCGGUUCCUGCCCCCAUUCUGUUGGGGACAGGGAGGGGCUGGGAAGGGCUACUGAAGGCCCCAUUCUCCUGCAGGAUGUCGAGGCUGGGAGGAGGAAGACUGAGGUAGAGAUUCCAGGCCCUAGCAUAAGCUGAAUCCCAAAUGUGGGUUUGGGAAGAACCAGAGAGAAAUGGAUCCCUGAGCUCUGAGCCAAGGGUGAGGAUGGGGAAACUCUAAGCUCCUGCCCAAUAAGAGGUAUAGGCAGACCAGCCAGAGGGAGAGCCAAUGGCCUCUGGUAGCCUUAAGCCCAAAGGGCAGUGGGAAUGUCCCCUGCCCCAACCAUUGGGUGGAGCUCCUGCUGGGCUGUGGGGAAGGGAGGUUGUGUGGAUCUUGACUCUGGGGCAGAACAGAUCUAACCAUGCGUUGCUAGCUCUGCUCCAGCAUCCCUUCCCCUUCUCUCCUCCUCUGCAUCACUUCUUUAGUAAUCCCAGCCCUAUAAAAAUGAACCUGAUGGGUGGAUUGAAUAUACAUUGGCCCUAAAGUCAUGUUUGGGGAAAAGGCAGACGAAGGCCUCCUUUCUCUGACCUCCCAGGAAGAAAAUAGCUUCUCCUACAGUGAUUCAUGUCCCAGGUCCAGGAAAUCCAAUGUUGGUGAAGGCAGCCACUCUCCUGCUUGUCCCCAAAUCACCUAACCCUCAUCCAGGGCUGUUUUGGUGAGCAGGGACUGCCUCCUCCCGGAAUUCCUAAGAUCCACCCAGCUUGCACCAUUUUCAUUGCUUUCCCCAGCAGCAUGAUGGGAACCCGAGCUGAGGGAUACAGGUCCUGAUUUGGUAGGAAUAUUAUUCCCAAGAAAUACCCCUCCUCACCUACUCCCUCCUCCUACCAAGGUGCCUGAAAAUGUUCAAGACUUAUGUUCAGGGUGGGAUGAUGGAACCUAGGGCUUCAUCAAAGUGAGAGGAAAGGAAAAGCAUCUGGCAUGUGUUUCUUGGAUAGGGGCCAGUGCAGUGCCAUCCUACAGGUGGCUGGAGCAGCUGCUUUGCAACCUGAUCACCUGGAGUUCUGAGCAGGGGCUAGGCUUGCAGGUGAGAUAAUGGGCCAGGGCACCCAGUCCAGAAGGAGCAAUGGCACCUGGGCAGUGCCAGGGCUUAGAGCCUGCUCCUCCUUUUCAGUAGAGGAGAGGCCCAUCACUGGUGUGGUGGGGUGGGCUCUCCCCUAGGCUUGGGCAAGGCAGCCACCUGCCCUUGCUCUCCCUUAGUGUUCCCUGGCCUCCCUGCCAUCAGGUUGCUGGGAGUGGAGAUGGAGGGAUUAUUGAGCAGAAAAUGAGUUGGAUGGAGAUAAAGAGCUCCCAUCCCUGGGUAAUGGAUAUUAAGAUGAUGGAGAUUCCUAAGAUUGGUGGAGUUGGGCAAUGCACAGCCAUCUGACUCCUUCAGGGUGCUCUUGAUGGGCUGGCUGUAAGGGAGACUCAGUCCCAGCCUCUCCCCUCUACAACUCCUGCCACUGUUGGCCAUGUCGUAAGGCAGCAGCUGUGCCAGGAUAGCUGGGUCCAUUCAGAGCACCUUGAGAAGUAUUGCAGGGAGGUGUUAAGAAGAGAAAUCUGUGCAAACAGUGAUGGAAGGCUGUUGUCUUGGUGUAUCCCUUGCCUCAUAGUCAAUAUAUUUUUUUCUUUGGCGAGUCACCAGUGACCCAAGCCCUCCACACCAGCCUCCUGUAUCUCAUCAGGUCCCUUCUCAGUACUGUAUUUGCUCAGUGCAUCAGGAAUGGGUGUAUGGGUGUGUGUGGGUGGCUGUGAGUGUGAGUGUGUACGUACCAAUAAACAACCUGGUUUUAAGACAAUGUA